Molecule: long non-coding RNA, 2104 nt
Organism: Equus asinus (donkey)
Lineage: Eukaryota; Metazoa; Chordata; Mammalia; Perissodactyla; Equidae
Source: Ensembl
AAGAAGCAGGAAACCAGGAUUGCAAGGUGCUGGCCAAGCAGGGAGAAGUGCUCCAUCACUUUGCUUGGCCAAUGCACUAGCCCAAGGGACUGUAAUCUCAGUGCACUAGCAAAACCACUCCCCAUUUUCUUGAAUCCCCUGUUUCUGCUUAUGGACCUUUUCGAUGUGGGAAUCUCUGAGGUUGGAGCCAACUCUUGUUAUCUUUGUGGUUUUGUCCCACCUCACAGGCAGCAGUUAUCCGGCAGCUUGUUACAAAGCAUUGAGAGGCCACUCCUGAACUUGUCUCAGGUGCACACAACCCUCUGUCCCACACUGUAUCAUCAGAGAACUUAUCACAAAGAGCAGUAAUGUCUUCUCUUGCUCACAAACACUCAAAGGACCCCUACUGAAUGUUACAAUGUUAUCUAGGAUCAAGCUAGACAGAACAAGUGUUCCAAUUUUUUAUUGCUCUGUAAGCAAACUCUCCUCAAAUGUAUUAAUUCAAAAUAACAAUUUGUUUCUCUCCCAUGAUUCUGGGAUUGCUGGGCUCAGCUGGGUGGUUCUUGCUUGGCAUCCCUCACAUGGUCGCAGCCAAAAGGAGUCGUCUGAAGGCUUGGUCCUUCACAUGUCUGGUGCCUUGGCUGGGAUGGCUGAAUCAGCUGGGGACUGGUCAGCUCUCUCUCUCUUUACACGGCCUCUCCACAUGGCCAGCUUGGGCUUCCUCACAGCGCUGUGGUCAUUGUGCAGGCAUGCUUCUUACAAGGCCACUGGCUUCCCUAGAAGACAGGAAGUGGAAGCUGCUAGUCUCUUAAGGCCUGGCCUGGAAACUGUCACUUCCACCAUGUUCUGUUGAUCACAGCAGUUGCAGAGAUAAUAUAGACUCCCAUCUCUCGAUGGGAUGAGUGUCAAAGAAUUUGUGGCCAUCUCUAAUCUGUCCCAAAUCUACUGCCCCUUCCAUAUGAGAACACUUAAUGUAAAUAAAGACUGCAAACAUGUCUUUAUUCAGUUUUUGCUUUGCAGGCCAUACUCACCAGUUUCUUUAACCUUCAGAUCACUCACAUUCUUCCCAAACCCCAUAGGUAGUCCAAGUCGCCAGAGUCCCCCUUAAGAUGUGGCACCCAGGACCUGAUUCAUUAUCCAAGGGCAAUUGGCCCUGAGCCAAUCCUCUUUUUGCUGAGGAAGACUGGCCCAGAGCUAACAUCCAUGCCCAUCUUCCUCUACUUUAUAUGUGGGACGCCUACCACAGCAUGGCUUGCCAAGCGGUGCCAUGUCCGCACCCAGGAUCCAAACCAGUGAACCCAGGGCCGCCGAAGUAGAACAUGCGAACUUAACCACUGUGCCACCAAGCCAGCCCCCAAAGUAAAUUUCUUACAUGAAGGAAAUAAUCUGGUCUGAGGAUGGAACGUUUAACCCACUAUAAUUCUAUUAUGGUAGUCAACUGGCAUUCUGGGCUGGACAACAGUCCUUUGUGGCCUUGAUUAGUGAGAGUCCAUGCCUGAGAUACGGACUCACUCUUGGUGGAAUAAAACAAAAUCACAUUUCAGCACCUGCAAGUCUGUGGAUGAUAUCCUAGUUCUGUGGUGAAUAACAAUGUCAAUCCAUAGCACUUAUGAAGCACCAUUUCAGUUAUCUGUUGCUGUGUAACAAAUUACCACCUAGCGGCUUAAUUCAAGAACAAUCAUUUUAUUAUUACCCCCUGUGUCUGUGGAUCAGUAAUUUGGGAAGAUGUAGUUGAACAGUUCUGGCUUGGAUUGUGGUUAAACAAUGACUGGAGCAGCUAAAGAUUGAUUGGCAUCUCUCUCUCUUCAUGUAGACUCAGAACCUCUCCAUUUGCUCUCUCCAUGUGGGCGGCUUAGAGCUUCCUCACAAUAUGGUGUCCACAGGGCUCCAAAAACAAGAUUCUCAGUGAACCAGGUAGAAGCCCUGGCAACUGUUCUGAUCUUGCCUCAGAAGUCACAUCACUUCCAAUUGCUCUAUUUGUUAAAAGUGAGUCACGGGCCCACCCAGAUUCAAAGGGAGGGGAAGUAGAUUCCACCUCUCGAUGAGAAAAGCGUCAAGAUUCUAAGGAGUGUGUGUGAUGGGAGAUAAUGUGGUUUUCUUUGGAAAAUAAAACUUGUUACAAGCA